AUGGCAUUAUCAACUUCAUUUUUGGGUAAUAAGCAAGAUAGAUUAAGGCACAACAGAGUUGUGCAAUAUGCUUGGUUCAGAGGAAGAGAGCUCGACCGUUGCAGACAAUUGUCAAUUAAUACAAAGGCAUCAACUUCUAGGGAUCAUGCAUCUUCGCCUUCGUUUUCCCAUAAGAGACAUGGGUCACCUACUGAGGCACCCAAGGCACACCAGGCACUCGAGGCACCCCAGAACCCCAGGGAUUUGGAGGAGGCAUGUCCGACUUAUCAAUGA
This is a non-coding RNA of Vicia faba (fava bean), 273 nucleotides long. The record is from the annotation of a GenBank genome assembly. Lineage: Eukaryota; Viridiplantae; Streptophyta; Magnoliopsida; Fabales; Fabaceae.